Molecule: long non-coding RNA, 628 nt
Organism: Ictalurus punctatus (channel catfish)
Lineage: Eukaryota; Metazoa; Chordata; Actinopteri; Siluriformes; Ictaluridae
Source: Ensembl
CAGAGUGAAGUACAGCGAGGCAGAGAGUAAUACAGCGAGGCAGAGAGUAAUACAGCGAGGCAGAGUGAAGUACAGCGAGGCAGAGAGUAAUACAGCGAGGCAGAGAGUAAUACAGCGAGGCAGAGAGUAAUACAGCGAGGCAGAGAGUAAUACAGCGUAUAUUUUAAUAGCAGAUUUUAUAGUUCACUUUAGCCUAGUGCACACUACAUGAGUUCCCCCUCCAUAACAAAAUCGCUGAGCGUUACCAUGGCAACCGCUAGUGCUGUGUGACGGGUUCAGCAUCGCGAUGCGCAGUUUGUUGAAGACACCCGGAUGUUUUGUUUAAUGCACGUUCAACCUCCCCGUGACGAAUCGUGUAGCGCGGGCCCCUGUACCCCGAGCCGCGGGAACAGUGCAGCAGAUCCCUAACCCAGUGUGACGUGUACACAACAACGGCACUUCUAGAAGAACCCAGACCGCCGCUAUACCUCCAGUUCUCUUCGCAGAACAGACAAGUCUCCCGCACCCAUCCUUCCUGCACCCUCGUUUCUGGUGUUCGGCGUACUCCCCUUCACACCCGGACGGAGACCCACGCUUUCUGGAGGACCGGAGUUCAGCUGUGAAGCUCCAUUUCCUCCUGCUGCUUCAC